GUGUCAGCCGCCGCGGUAAUACAGAGGGUGCGAGCGUUGUUCGGAAUUACUGGGCGUAAAGGGCGCGUAGGCGGCUUUAUAAGUCAGAUGUGAAAGCCCACGGCUUAACCGUGGAAGUGCAUCUGAUACUGUGAGGCUUGAGUAUGGGAGAGGAAAGUAGAAUUCCCGGUGUAGAGGUGAAAUUCGUAGAUAUCGGGAGGAACACCUGUGGCGAAAGCGACUUUCUGGACCAAUACUGACGCUGAGGCGCGAAAGCGUGGGGAGCAAACAGGAUUAGAAACCCCCGUAGUCC
This 292-nucleotide ribosomal RNA is filed under the name uncultured bacterium. Its description in RNAcentral is "partial 16S ribosomal RNA". It matches the Rfam family "Bacterial small subunit ribosomal RNA", at positions 505 to 796 of the family's 1533-position model. The record is from RNAcentral.